AAUUUUUUGUCACUCGGAAUAGAUUGUCAAACAGGCAUAGACAAAUUCUUAAAAUGUGUAAAGUUUCCAGAAGGGUGAAUGCUCUUAUUAUUCUCGGUUUUAUAGCCUUGGUUGUCCCUCUGGUCGCUCUCUUCAGUCAAGAUCAUACAACGCCGCGCGAAGCUUAUAAGCGUGUCGUGCAAUAUGGGAUCUUAUUUUUGUGGAUGGUUCUUCCGGUGCCAACCAUGUAUUUCAUCUAUAAGAAAAAGCGAUAUGUGAGAUUUUUGCUGCCAUGUGCUUUCAUAUGGUUAGUUCUAAGUUCUAUGAUUUUAAUUUUUUUCAUACUUAAUGGAAACAACACAUUCGAUUACAUUUACUUUUACGGAUCAAAUUAUUAUCUCUAUGGUAUAAUGGAUGUAUUAUUUUGGGAUUUAUCAUCCCAUUUUCAUUUUUUAUUUAUUAUAAACGGAAAAUGGCUGCGGAUGAAUAAUUGGCAAACACGAAGGAAGUGUAGGAGUUAAAAAAAAAUUUAGUAUUCAAGAGAGUUUAAUAAAAUUAAUUAUUUUACUUUAUGCAUA
Drosophila biarmipes is the source of this 557-nucleotide long non-coding RNA. RefSeq lists it as uncharacterized. NCBI's taxonomy places the organism in Eukaryota, Metazoa, Arthropoda, Insecta, Diptera, Drosophilidae. The record is from RefSeq and is a predicted model, not a curated record. The transcript has 3 exons.